AGCAGCCGCGGUAAUUCCAGCUCCAAUAGCGUAUAUUAAAGUUGUUGCAGUUAAAAAGCUCGUAGUUGAAUUUCGGAAUUUAUCGGUUGGUCGGGCUUCACUGUCCGCACUGGCCUGAUGGAUUCCUACCUUCUGAAUAACCAGCAUGCUAUUAAUUUAGUGCGUUGGGGAAGCAGAGCUAUUACCUUGAAAAAUUAGAGUGCUUAAAGCAGGCUUACGCUUGAAUAGAUUAGCAUGGAAUAAUAAAAUAGGACGGCUUGGUUCUAUUUUGUUGGUUUCUAGGAUCACCGUAAUGAUUAAUAGGGAUAGUUGGGGGCAUUAGUAUUCAAUUGUCAGAGGUGAAAUUCUUGGAUUUAUUGAAGACUAACUUCUGCGAAAGCAUUUGCCAAGGAUGUUUUCAUUAAUCAAGAACGAAAGUUAGGGGAUCGAAGACGAUCAGAUACCGUCGUAGUCUUAACCAUAAACUAUGCCGACUAGGGAUCGGACGAUGUUAAUUUUUAAUGUACUCA
This 509-nucleotide ribosomal RNA is filed under the name uncultured Acaulosporaceae. RNAcentral's name for it is "SSU rRNA". It matches the Rfam family "Eukaryotic small subunit ribosomal RNA", at positions 569 to 1078 of the family's 1831-position model. Lineage: Eukaryota; Fungi; Glomeromycota; Glomeromycetes; Diversisporales; Acaulosporaceae. The record is from RNAcentral.